CCUACGGGAGUCAGCAGUGGGGAAUCUUCCGCAAUGGGCGAAAGCCUGACGGAGCAACGCCGCGUGAUCGAAUGAAGGCCUUCGGGUUGUAAAGAUCUGUUGACAGGGACGAAUAAGCAAUGCAAAUAGCUUUGUGUAUGACUGUACCUGUUUAGAAUGCUCCGGCUAACUACGUGCCAGCAGCCGCGUCAAUACGUAGGGAGCAAGCGUUGGCCGGAAUGACUGGGCGUAGAGGUCGCGCAGGUGGUCGCAUAAGACAGGUGUGAAAGCUCCGGGCUCAACCUGGAGACUGCACUUGAGACUGGGUGUCUAGAGAGCAGGUGAGGAAAGUGGAAUUCAUAGUGUAGCGGUGAAAUGCGUAGAUAUUA
Molecule: ribosomal RNA, 368 nt
Filed under: uncultured bacterium
Lineage: Bacteria
Description: partial 16S ribosomal RNA
Rfam family: Bacterial small subunit ribosomal RNA
Source: RNAcentral